Pelodiscus sinensis (Chinese soft-shelled turtle) is the source of this 375-nucleotide non-coding RNA. NCBI's taxonomy places the organism in Eukaryota, Metazoa, Chordata, Testudines, Trionychidae. The record is from RefSeq and is a predicted model, not a curated record.
GCAAAUGCCUGACACCAGGGAAAAGGAAGCCCGUGGACACUUACUCUCCAACGAUAUUACCAAGCAACUCAGACCAAGAUCUUAAUGUCAAGGUAACCACAAAAGUGGAUGUAAUCAAACGCUCCUCUGGGGAGAGGAAAGCCAGGGAGAAGUCAAAGGCAAAGCUCAGUGGAUGGAUGAGAUGGAUCAACUUGAGAGGGUUACUGGUCUCGUGAACAGAGGGGAAGCAGUAAUGAUGAUAUAUCUGGAAUUUCGAAAGAUAUUUGACAUGGUCCCACAUAAGCAAACGAGGGAAAACAACAAAAAUGAUAACGUUUAGAAAACUGGCUGUAUAAGGAAAGGUUAACAAACCUGGACGUGUACUCUAGAUAAAAU